This 238-nucleotide ribosomal RNA is filed under the name uncultured bacterium. Its description in RNAcentral is "partial 16S ribosomal RNA". It matches the Rfam family "Bacterial small subunit ribosomal RNA", at positions 1263 to 1500 of the family's 1533-position model. The record is from RNAcentral.
CAGAGUAAAACUCAAAAAACGGUACUCAGUUCGGAUUGAAGGCUGAAAUUCGCCUUCAUGAAGCUGGAAUUGCUGGUAAUCGCGGAUCAGCAAGCCGCGGUGAAUACGUUCCCGGGCCUUGUACACACCGCCCGUCACACCAUGAGAGUCGGGAACACCCGAAGUCCGUAGUCUAACCGCAAGGGGGGCGCGGCCGAAGGUGGGUCCGGUAAUUGGGGUGAAGUCGUAACAAGGUACC